Molecule: unclassified non-coding RNA, 152 nt
Filed under: sea anemone metagenome
Description: partial contains small subunit ribosomal RNA and internal transcribed spacer 1
Rfam family: Eukaryotic small subunit ribosomal RNA
Source: RNAcentral
GCACCUACCGAUUGAAUGGUCCGGUGAAGCCUCGGGAUUGUGGCGAGUUCCCUUUAUUGGGAGUUUGUCGCGAGAACUUGUCUAAACCUUAUCAUUUAGAGGAAGGUGAAGUCGUAACAAGGUUUCCGUAGGUGAACCUGCAGAAGGAUCCA